GUAAUUAUCUGGCAGCACAUAUACUAAAAUUGGGAUGAUACAGAGAAGACUAGAUGGCCCCUGCACAAGGAUGGCAUUCAAAUUCAUGAAUCAUUCCAUAUUUUU
Molecule: small nuclear RNA, 105 nt
Organism: Jaculus jaculus (lesser Egyptian jerboa)
Lineage: Eukaryota; Metazoa; Chordata; Mammalia; Rodentia; Dipodidae
Source: Ensembl